This 292-nucleotide ribosomal RNA is filed under the name uncultured Planctomycetota bacterium. RNAcentral describes it as "uncultured planctomycete partial 16S ribosomal RNA". Lineage: Bacteria; Pseudomonadati; Planctomycetota. The record is from RNAcentral.
GGACUACCGGGGUAUCUAAUCCCGUUCGCUACCCUGGCUUUCGUGCCUCAGCGUCAGAAAAGACCCAGUGAGCCGCUUUCGCCACCGGUGUUCCUUAGGAUAUCAACGCAUUUCACCGCUCCACCCUAAGUUCCGCUCACCUCUGUCUUCCUCGAGCACAGUAGUUUUGGGCGCAGUUCCUCGGUUAAGCCGAGGUAUUUCACACCCAACUUUCUGCACAGCCUACGCACCCUUUAAGCCCAGUAAUUCCGAAUAACGUUAGUGUGGCUCGUCUUACCGCGGCUGCUGGCAC